This is a long non-coding RNA of Ctenocephalides felis (cat flea), 114 nucleotides long. RefSeq lists it as uncharacterized. The transcript has 3 exons. Lineage: Eukaryota; Metazoa; Arthropoda; Insecta; Siphonaptera; Pulicidae. The record is from RefSeq and is a predicted model, not a curated record.
UAGACGGUCACAUGUAAACGAACGCCGAAUGUGGGUAAAGAAAGUCGCGAUGAAGCAGCAAAUUGAAAGGGCCUGCGGUCCUAGGCCUGAAAACUCGAGGGCCAAUGCAGAUAA